This 251-nucleotide ribosomal RNA is filed under the name uncultured bacterium. Its description in RNAcentral is "partial 16S ribosomal RNA". It matches the Rfam family "Bacterial small subunit ribosomal RNA", at positions 525 to 775 of the family's 1533-position model. The record is from RNAcentral.
ACGGAGGACCCGAGCGUUAUCCGGAUUUAUUGGGUUUAAAGGGUGCGUAGGCGGAUUAGUAAGUUAGAGGUGAAAGCUCGAUGCUCAACAUCGAAAUUGCCUCUGAUACUGUUAGUCUAGAGUAUAGUUGCGGAAGGCGGAAUGUGUGGUGUAGCGGUGAAAUGCUUAGAUAUCACACAGAACACCGAUUGCGAAGGCAGCUUUCCAAGCUAUUACUGACGCUGAUGCACGAAAGCGUGGGGAGCGAACAG